GAAACUAACAAGGAUUCCCUUAGUAACGGCGAGUGAAGCGGGAAGAGCACAAAUUUUAAAUCUACCUGGUUUCCAGCUCGAGUUGUAUUUUGAAGAAAUGUUUUUGACGUUCCGGGUUGGACUAAAUCCUUUGGGAUGAGGUAUCAUAGAGGGUGAGAAUCCCGUGUAUACCAACCUUCAGGGGCGUUAUUUAAUAACGUUUCUAAGAGUCGAGUUGUUUGGGAAUGCAGCUCUAAAUGGGUGGUAAAUUUCACCUAAUGCUAAAUAUAAGCGAGAGACCGAUAGCGAACAAGUACCGUGAGGGAAAGAUGAAAAGAACUUUGAAAAGAGAGUUAAAUAGUACGUGAAAUUGUUGAAAGGGAAACGAUUGAAGUCAGUCAUGCCGGCGUGAAUCAACUUAGGGGAAACUCUGAGUGCACUUCUUCGCUUGGCAGGUCAGCGUCGAUUUUGGAUGUCAUAAAAUGAUUGGGGGAAGGUAGCUCCUUCGGGAGUGUUAUAGCCCUUGGUAGAUGUGAUGUCUGGGAUCGAGGAUUGCAAUGGAUACCCUUCGGGGCUAGCCGCCUGGUCUCUAAUCGAUGUUGGGUUACGGACAGCACGCUGACCGUGAUUUGAUUAUUGGUUAAAAGGUCAGAACGUGCGUAAAUUCGUUAAGGAUGUUGAC
This 661-nucleotide ribosomal RNA is filed under the name Intraornatospora intraornata. Its description in RNAcentral is "LSU rRNA". It matches the Rfam family "Eukaryotic large subunit ribosomal RNA", at positions 61 to 630 of the family's 3401-position model. Lineage: Eukaryota; Fungi; Glomeromycota; Glomeromycetes; Diversisporales; Gigasporaceae. The record is from RNAcentral.